This 67-nucleotide transfer RNA is filed under the name Rheobates palmatus (palm rocket frog). RNAcentral's name for it is "tRNA-His". It matches the Rfam family "tRNA". Rfam says of the family: Transfer RNA (tRNA) molecules are approximately 80 nucleotides in length. Their secondary structure includes four short double-helical elements and three loops (D, anti-codon, and T loops). Lineage: Eukaryota; Metazoa; Chordata; Amphibia; Anura; Aromobatidae. The record is from RNAcentral.
UGAGUAUAGUUUAUAAAAAUACUAGUCUGUGACCCUAGUGAUGAGGACUAAAUAUCCUCUACCCACC